UAAGGAAUAUUGGUCAAUGGACGCAAGUCUGAACCAGCCAUGCCGCGUGGAGGAUGAAGGUCCUCUGGAUUGUAAACUUCUUUUAUCUGGGACGAAACACUUCUUUUCUAAGAGGCCUGACGGUACCAGAUGAAUAAGCACCGGCUAACUCCGUGCCAGCAGCCGCGGUAAUACGGAGGGUGCAAGCGUUAUCCGGAUUCACUGGGUUUAAAGGGUGCGUAGGUGGGCAGAUAAGUCAGUGGUGAAAUCUUCCGGCUUAACCGGGAAACUGCCGUUGAUACUAUUUGUCUUGAAUAUUGCGGAGGUAAGCGGAAUAUGUCAUGUAGCGGUGAAAUGCUUAGAUAUGACAUAGAACACCAAUUGCGAAGGCAGCUUACUACACAAUCAUUGACACUGAGGCACGAAAGCGUGGGUAGC
Molecule: ribosomal RNA, 417 nt
Filed under: uncultured bacterium
Lineage: Bacteria
Description: bacterial SSU rRNA
Rfam family: Bacterial small subunit ribosomal RNA
Source: RNAcentral